CCUACGGGAGGCAGCAGUGGGGAAUAUUGCACAAUGGGCGCAAGCCUGAUGCAGCCAUGCCGCGUGUAUGAAGAAGGCCUUCGGGUUGUAAAGUACUUUCAGCGAGGAGGAAAGGUUAGCGGUUAAUACCCGUUAGCUGUGACGUUACUCGCAGAAGAAGCACCGGCUAACUCCGUGCCAGCAGCCGCGGUAAUACGGAGGGUGCGAGCGUUAAUCGGAAUUACUGGGCGUAAAGCGCAUGCAGGCGGUCUGUUAAGCGAGAUGUGAAAGCCCCGGGCUUAACCUGGGAACUGCAUUUCGAACUGGCAGACUAGAGUCUUGUAGAGGGAGGUAGAAUUUCAGGUGUAGCGGUGAAAUGCGUAGAGAUUUGAAGGAAUACCAGUGGCGAAGGCGGCCUCCUGGACAAAGACUGACGCUCAGAUGCGAAAGCGUGGGGAGCAAACAGGAUUAGAUACCCUGGUAGUCCACGCUGUAAACGAUGUCUAUUAGGAGUCUGUGCCCUUGAGGCGUGGGUUCCAAAGCUAACGCAUUAAAUAGACCGCCUGGGGAGUACGGCCGCAAGGUUAAAACUCAAAUGAAUUGACGGA
This 587-nucleotide ribosomal RNA is filed under the name uncultured bacterium. Its description in RNAcentral is "bacterial SSU rRNA". It matches the Rfam family "Bacterial small subunit ribosomal RNA", at positions 338 to 917 of the family's 1533-position model. The record is from RNAcentral.